CCGACCUUGAAAUACCACCCUUUAAUGUUUGAUGUUCUAACGUGGACCCGUGAUCCGGGUUGCGGACAGUGUCUGGUGGGUAGUUUGACUGGGGCGGUCUCCUCCUAAAGAGUAACGGAGGAGCACGAAGGUUGGCUAAUCCUGGUCGGACAUCAGGAGGUUAGUGCAAUGGCAUAAGCCAGCUUGACUGCGAGCGUGACGGCGCGAGCAGGUGCGAAAGCAGGUCAUAGUGAUCCGGUGGUUCUGAAUGGAAGGGCCAUCGCUCAACGGAUAAAAGGUACUCCGGGGAUAACAGGCUGAUACCGCCCAAGAGUUCAUAUCGACGGCGGUGUUUGGCACCUCGAUGUCGGCUCAUCACAUCCUGGGGCUGAAGUAGGUCCCAAGGGUAUGGCUGUUCGCCAUUUAAAGUGGUACGCGAGCUGGGUUUAGAACGUCGUGAGACAGUUCGGUCCCUAUCUGCCGUGGGCGCUGGAGAACUGAGGGGGGCUGCUCCUAGUACGAGAGGACCGGAGUGGACGCAUCACUGGUGUUCGGGUUGUCAUGCCAAUGGCACUGCCCGGUAGCUAAAUGCGGAAGAGAUAAGUGCUGAAAGCAUCUAAGCACGAAACUUGCCCCGAGAUGAGUUCUCCCUGAGACUUUAGGUCUCCUGAAGGAACGUUGAAGACGACGACGUUGAUAGGCCGGGUGUGUAAGCGCAGCGAUGCGUUGAGCUAACCGGUACUAAUGAACCGUGAGGCUUAACCUU
RNAcentral lists this ribosomal RNA (745 nucleotides) under Salmonella enterica. RNAcentral's name for it is "partial 23S ribosomal RNA". It matches the Rfam family "Bacterial large subunit ribosomal RNA", at positions 2186 to 2925 of the family's 2925-position model. The record is from RNAcentral. Lineage: Bacteria; Pseudomonadati; Pseudomonadota; Gammaproteobacteria; Enterobacterales; Enterobacteriaceae.